UGAAGAGAGGAGCUUGCUCUUCUUGGAUGAGUUGCGAACGGGUGAGUAACGCGUAGGUAACCUGCCUUGUAGCGGGGGAUAACUAUUGGAAACGAUAGCUAAUACCGCAUAACAAUGGAUGACACAUGUCAUUUAUUUGAAAGGGGCAAUUGCUCCACUACAAGAUGGACCUGCGUUGUAUUAGCUAGUAGGUGAGGUAAUGGCUCACCUAGGCGACGAUACAUAGCCGACCUGAGAGGGUGAUCGGCCACACUGGGACUGAGACACGGCCCAGACUCCUACGGGAGGCAGCAGUAGGGAAUCUUCGGCAAUGGGGGCAACCCUGACCGAGCAACGCCGCGUGAGUGAAGAAGGUUUUCGGAUCGUAAAGCUCUGUUGUAAGUCAAGAACGGGUGUGAGAGUGGAAAGUUCACACUGUGACGGUAGCUUACCAGAAAGGGACGGCUAACUACGUGCCAGCAGCCGCGGUAAUACGUAGGUCCCGAGCGUUGUCCGGAUUUAUUGGGCGUAAAGCGAGCGCAGGCGGUUUGAUAAGUCUGAAGUUAAAGGCUGUGGCUCAACCAUAGUUCGCUUUGGAAACUGUCAAACUUGAGUGCAGAAGGGGAGAGUGGAAUUCCAUGUGUAGCGGUGAAAUGCGUAGAUAUAUGGAGGAACACCGGUGGCGAAAGCGGCUCUCUGGUCUGUAACUGACGCUGAGGCUCGAAAGCGUGGGGAGCGAACAGGAUUAGAUACCCUGGUAGUCCACGCCGUAAACGAUGAGUGCUAGGUGUUGGAUCCUUUCCGGGAUUCAGUGCCGCAGCUAACGCAUUAAGCACUCCGCCUGGGGAGUACGACCGCAAGGUUGAAACUCAAAGGAAUUGACGGGGGCCCGCACAAGCGGUGGAGCAUGUGGUUUAAUUCGAAGCAACGCGAAGAACCUUACCAGGUCUUGACAUCCCGAUGCUAUUUCUAGAGAUAGAAAGUUACUUCGGUACAUCGGUGACAGGUGGUGCAUGGUUGUCGUCAGCUCGUGUCGUGAGAUGUUGGGUUAAGUCCCGCAACGAGCGCAACCCCUAUUGUUAGUUGCCAUCAUUCAGUUGGGCACUCUAGCGAGACUGCCGGUAAUAAACCGGAGGAAGGUGGGGAUGACGUCAAAUCAUCAUGCCCCUUAUGACCUGGGCUACACACGUGCUACAAUGGUUGGUACAACGAGUUGCGAGUCGGUGACGGCGAGCUAAUCUCUUAAAGCCAAUCUCAGUUCGGAUUGUAGGCUGCAACUCGCCUACAUGAAGUCGGAAUCGCUAGUAAUCGCGGAUCAGCACGCCGCGGUGAAUACGUUCCCGGGCCUUGUACACACCGCCCGUCACACCACGAGAGUUUGUAACACCCGAAGUCGGUGAGGUAACCUUUUGAGCCAGCCGCCUAAGUGAACAG
Molecule: ribosomal RNA, 1413 nt
Filed under: Streptococcus thermophilus
Lineage: Bacteria; Bacillati; Bacillota; Bacilli; Lactobacillales; Streptococcaceae
Description: bacterial SSU rRNA
Rfam family: Bacterial small subunit ribosomal RNA
Source: RNAcentral